AACGCACAUUGCGCCCAUUAGUAUUCUAGUGGGCAUGCCUGUUCGAGCGUCAUUUCAACCCUUAAGCUUAGCUUAGUGUUGGGAUUCUACAGAACGGUAACUUGUUACCAUGUAGUUCCUAAAAUGAAACGGCGGAUCUGCAGUAUCCUCUGAGCGUAGUAAAUUUUUAUCUCGCUUUUGACAGGUUCUGUGGUUCUUGCCGCUAAACCCCCAAUUUUUAAUGGUUGACCUCGGAUCAGGUAGGAAUACCCGCUGAACUUAA
Molecule: unclassified non-coding RNA, 262 nt
Filed under: uncultured fungus
Lineage: Eukaryota; Fungi
Description: partial contains 5.8S ribosomal RNA, internal transcribed spacer 2, and large subunit ribosomal RNA
Source: RNAcentral